AUUAGUGGCGAACGGGUGAGUAACACGUGAGUAACCUGCCCUUGACUCUGGGAUAAGCGUUGGAAACGACGUCUAAUACCGGAUACGAGCUUCAGCCGCAUGGCUAGGAGCUGGAAAGAAUUUCGGUCAAGGAUGGACUCGCGGCCUAUCAGCUUGUUGGUGAGGUAAUGGCUCACCAAGGCGACGACGGGUAGCCGGCCUGAGAGGGUGACCGGCCACACUGGGACUGAGACACGGCCCAGACUCCUACGGGAGGCAGCAGUGGGGAAUAUUGCACAAUGGGCGCAAGCCUGAUGCAGCAACGCCGCGUGAGGGACGACGGCCUUCGGGUUGUAAACCUCUUUUAGCAGGGAAGAAGCGCAAGUGACGGUACCUGCAGAAAAAGCACCGGCUAACUACGUGCCAGCAGCCGCGGUAAUACGUAGGGUGCAAGCGUUGUCCGGAAUUAUUGGGCGUAAAGAGCUCGUAGGCGGUUUGUCGCGUCUGCUGUGAAAACGCGAGGCUCA
This 506-nucleotide ribosomal RNA is filed under the name bacterium EP2.14. Its description in RNAcentral is "bacterial SSU rRNA". It matches the Rfam family "Bacterial small subunit ribosomal RNA", at positions 91 to 611 of the family's 1533-position model. The record is from RNAcentral. RNAcentral also lists the same sequence under 2 other names.